GAUGAACGCUGGCGGCGUGCCUAAUACAUGCAAGUCGAGCGAACAGACCAGGAGCUUGUUCCUCUGACGUUAGCGGCGGACGGGUGAGUAACACGUGUAUCACCUACUUAUAUGUCUGGGAUAACUUCGGGAAACCGGAGCUAAUACCGGAUAAUAUAUUGAUCCGCAUGGUUCAAUAGUGAAUGUCGGUUUUGCUGUCUCUUAUAGAUGGAUCUGGGCCGCAUUAGCUAGUUGGUAGGGUACCGGCUUACCAAGGCAACGAUGCGUAGCCGACCGGAGAGGGGGAUCGCCCACACUGGAGGUGAGACGGGCACCUGGGUCCUACGGGAGGCAGCAGUAGCGAAUCGUCCGCAAUGGGCGGAAGCCUGACGGAGCAGGGCGACGUGAGUGAUGGAGGUCUUCGGAGCGGAAUACUCUGUUAUGAGUGAAAAACAACUGUGGAAUUAACUAUGCACGUCGUGACGGUACCUAAUCAGAAAGCCACGGCUAACUACGUG
RNAcentral lists this ribosomal RNA (497 nucleotides) under uncultured bacterium. RNAcentral describes it as "partial 16S ribosomal RNA". It matches the Rfam family "Bacterial small subunit ribosomal RNA", at positions 28 to 507 of the family's 1533-position model. The record is from RNAcentral.